This 466-nucleotide ribosomal RNA is filed under the name uncultured bacterium. RNAcentral describes it as "partial 16S ribosomal RNA". It matches the Rfam family "Bacterial small subunit ribosomal RNA", at positions 28 to 507 of the family's 1533-position model. The record is from RNAcentral.
GACGAACGCUGGCGGCGUGCUUAACACAUGCAAGUCGAACGGAAAGGCCCUGCUUGCAGGGUACUCGAGUGGCGAACGGGUGAGUAACACGUGGGUGAUCUGCCCUGCACUUCGGGAUAAGCUUGGGAAACUGGGUCUAAUACCGGAUAGGAGCCAUCUUUAGUGUGGUGGUUGGAAAGUUUUUUCGGUGUAGGAUGAGCUCGCGGCCUAUCAGCUUGUUGGUGGGGUAAUGGCCUACCAAGGCGGCGACGGGUAGCCGGCCUGAGAGGGUGUACGGCCACAUUGGGACUGAGAUACGGCCCAGACUCCUACGGGAGGCAGCAGUAGGGAAUAUUGCACAAUGGGCGCAAGCCUGAUGCAGCGACGCCGCGUGGGGGAUGAAGGCCUUCGGGUUGUAAACUCCUUUCGCUAGGGACGAAGCUUUUUUGUGACGGUACCUAGAUAAGAAGCACCGGCUAACUACGUG